UUCAGAUGCUUGAAACCUUUCCCAAGAAUUUUCACAUCAAAACAGAAACUCAAAUCUCCUUUAAAAAGUACAAGGUUCUUUUACAUGCUUGCAAUUCUUGCCCCUAUUGCCAAAAACAAGAUAAGAGAAAGGGACUGUGUGAACAAAAUCAAUGAUUGAGUACAAAAGUGUUUCUAAAUGGUUCUUCAGACGAGCUGCACCAACGUGAAAACCCUGCCAGCAGGAGAAAAGUGUGCCCAGUUCCUCAUACUCCAGUCAGCACAGGGGCAUUACCACUAUUCUGAAGCUUGGCCAGUUUCAGGAGGAAUAACCAAGGAACAUUGGCAACUACAAUGAACAGGUAGUAUAGUUUCGAAAAGACAGGACCAGUUAAAGGUAUUAGCAUAGCAUCUUUUAGA
Molecule: long non-coding RNA, 398 nt
Organism: Ochotona princeps (American pika)
Lineage: Eukaryota; Metazoa; Chordata; Mammalia; Lagomorpha; Ochotonidae
Exons: 3
Source: RefSeq, a predicted model, not a curated record